This 73-nucleotide transfer RNA is filed under the name Caudoviricetes sp. Its description in RNAcentral is "tRNA-Pro". It matches the Rfam family "tRNA". Rfam says of the family: Transfer RNA (tRNA) molecules are approximately 80 nucleotides in length. Lineage: Duplodnaviria; Heunggongvirae; Uroviricota; Caudoviricetes. The record is from RNAcentral.
GUGUCUGUAGCGCAGUUGGUAGCGCGCCUGCUUUGGGAGCAGGAGGACGCGAGUUCGAACCUCGCCGGACGCA